RNAcentral lists this long non-coding RNA (804 nucleotides) under Marmota monax (woodchuck). The record is from RNAcentral. Lineage: Eukaryota; Metazoa; Chordata; Mammalia; Rodentia; Sciuridae.
GUGCGGCUCUACCCUUCCGCAGGCCGCUGGGCCUGUUCUGUCUGUCGGUUGCAGGUCUGGCGUGUUCUGUUGGUGGUCGCAGGUCCGCCUACCUUGCAGGCGCGUGGGGCAACUCUGCCCCUCCGCGGAAUACUGGGCCUGUUCUGCUGGUGGGUCACAGGUCCGCCUACCUUGCAGGCGCGGGGGGCGGCUUUGCCCCUCAGCAGGCCGCUGGGCCUGUUCUGCCGGUGGUCACAGUUUCGCCUACCUUGCAGGCACUGGAGGAGGGGGCGGCUCUGCCCCUCAGCAGGCCGCUGGGCCUGUUCUGCCGGGGGGUCGGAGCUCCGCCUACCUUGCAGGCAUGGUUGGCAGCUCUGCCCCUCCAUGGGCCACUGGGCCUGUUCUGUCGGUGGUCACAGUUCUGCCUACCUUGCAGGCGCGGGGGGAGGGGGCAGCUCUGCCCCUCAGCAGGCCACUGGGCCUGUUCUGCCGGAGGGUCAGAGGUCUGCCUACAUUGCAGGCGUGGUUGGCAGCUCUGUCCCUCCACGGGCCACUGGGCCUGUUCUGUCGGUGGUCACAGUUCCACCUACAUUGCAGGUGCGGAGGGAAGGGGCGGCUCUGCCCCUCAGCAGGCCGCUGCGCCUGUUCUGCUGGUGGGUCGCAGGCUCACCUACCUUGCAGGCGUGGUUGGCAGCUCUGCCCCUCCACGGGCCACUGGGCCUUUUCUGUCGGGUGGUCACAUUUCCGCCUACCUUGCAGGCAUGGGGGGGGCGGCUCUGCCCCUCAUCAGGCCGCUGGGCCUGUUCUGUGUGUUGUCACAGUUCC